This 37-nucleotide transfer RNA is filed under the name Gyrinops sp. Zich s.n. RNAcentral describes it as "partial tRNA-Phe". The record is from RNAcentral. Lineage: Eukaryota; Viridiplantae; Streptophyta; Magnoliopsida; Malvales; Thymelaeaceae.
CGGGAUAGCUCAGCUGGUAGAGCAGAGGACUGAAAAC